Molecule: ribosomal RNA, 301 nt
Filed under: uncultured bacterium
Lineage: Bacteria
Description: partial 16S ribosomal RNA
Rfam family: Bacterial small subunit ribosomal RNA
Source: RNAcentral
CAGCCGCCGCGGUAAAACGUAGGUGGCAAGCGUUGUCCGGAAUUAUUGGGCGUAAAGGGCUCGCAGGCGGUUUCUUAAGUCUGAUGUGAAAGCCCCCGGCUCAACCGGGGAGGGUCAUUGGAAACUGGGAAACUUGAGUGCAGAAGAGGAGAGCGGAAUUCCACGUGUAGCGGUGAAAUGCGUAGAGAUGUGGAGGAACACCAGUGGCGAAGGCGACUCUCUGGUCUGUAACUGACGCUGAGGAGCGAAAGCGUGGGGAGCGAACAGGAUUAGAUACCCCCGUAGUCCCUGUCUCUUAUAC